This 826-nucleotide ribosomal RNA is filed under the name uncultured bacterium. Its description in RNAcentral is "bacterial SSU rRNA". It matches the Rfam family "Bacterial small subunit ribosomal RNA", at positions 54 to 870 of the family's 1533-position model. The record is from RNAcentral.
CAUGCAAGUCGAGGGGAAACGACAUCGAAAGCUUGCUUUUGAUGGGCGUCGACCGGCGCACGGGUGAGUAACGCGUAUCCAACCUGCCCACCACUUGGGGAUAACCUUGCGAAAGUAAGACUAAUACCCAAUGACGUCUCUAGAAGACAUCUGAAAGAGAUUAAAGAUUUAUCGGUGAUGGAUGGGGAUGCGUCUGAUUAGCUUGUUGGCGGGGUAACGGCCCACCAAGGCGACGAUCAGUAGGGGUUCUGAGAGGAAGGUCCCCCACAUUGGAACUGAGACACGGUCCAAACUCCUACGGGAGGCAGCAGUGAGGAAUAUUGGUCAAUGGGCGAGAGCCUGAACCAGCCAAGUAGCGUGCAGGAUGACGGCCCUAUGGGUUGUAAACUGCUUUUAUAAGGGAAUAAAGUGAGUCUCGUGAGACUUUUUGCAUGUACCUUAUGAAUAAGGACCGGCCAAUUCCGUGCCAGCAGCCGCGGUAAUACGGAAGGUCCGGGCGUUAUCCGGAUUUAUUGGGUUUAAAGGGAGCGUAGGCCGGAGAUUAAGCGUGUUGUGAAAUGUAGACGCUCAACGUCUGCACUGCAGCGCGAACUGGUUUCCUUGAGUACGCACAAAGUGGGCGGAAUUCGUGGUGUAGCGGUGAAAUGCUUAGAUAUCACGAAGAACUCCGAUUGCGAAGGCAGCUCACUGGAGCGCAACUGACGCUGAAGCUCGAAAGUGCGGGUAUCGAACAGGAUUAGAUACCCUGGUAGUCCGCACGGUAAACGAUGGAUGCCCGCUGUUGGUCUGAAUAGGUCAGCGGCCAAGCGAAAGCAUUAAGCAUCCC